CAGUAGCCGCGGUAAUACGGAGGAUCCAAGCGUUAUCCGGAAUCAUUGGGUUUAAAGGGUCCGUAGGCGGUCUUGUAAGUCAGUGGUGAAAGCCCAUCGCUCAACGGUGGAACGGCCAUUGAUACUGCAGGACUUGAAUUAUUGGGAAGUAACUAGAAUAUGUAGUGUAGCGGUGAAAUGCUUAGAGAUUACAUGGAAUACCAAUUGCGAAGGCAGGUUACUACCAAUUGAUUGACGCUGAUGGACGAAAGCGUGGGUAGCGAACAGGAUUAGAUACCCCUGUAGCUGUCUCUUAUACACA
This 301-nucleotide ribosomal RNA is filed under the name uncultured bacterium. RNAcentral describes it as "partial 16S ribosomal RNA". It matches the Rfam family "Bacterial small subunit ribosomal RNA", at positions 509 to 808 of the family's 1533-position model. The record is from RNAcentral.